UGGGGAAUUUUGGACAAUGGGCGCGAGCCUGAUCCAGCAAUGCCGCGUGCAGGAUGAAGGCCUUCGGGUUGUAAACUGCUUUUGUACGGAACGAAACGGCUCUGUCUAAUACAUGGGGCUAAUGACGGUACCGUAAGAAUAAGCACCGGCUAACUACGUGCCAGCAGCCGCGGUAAUACGUAGGGUGCAAGCGUUAAUCGGAAUUACUGGGCGUAAAGCGUGCGCAGGCGGUGAUGUAAGACAGGUGUGAAGUCCCCGGGCUUAACCUGGGAAUUGCAUUUGUGACUGCAUCGCUGGAGUGCGGCAGAGGGGGAUGGAAUUCCGCGUGUAGCAGUGAAAUGCGUAGAUAUGCGGAGGAACACCGAUGGCGAAGGCAGCUGACGAAACUAUAACUGACACUGAGGCUCGAAAGUGCGGGGAUCAAACA
This 427-nucleotide ribosomal RNA is filed under the name uncultured bacterium. RNAcentral describes it as "bacterial SSU rRNA". It matches the Rfam family "Bacterial small subunit ribosomal RNA", at positions 355 to 774 of the family's 1533-position model. The record is from RNAcentral.